AAGCGUUGUUCGGAUUUAUUGGGCGUAAAGCGCGUGUAGGCGGUUUGUUAAGUCUGAUGUGAAAGCCCUGGGCUCAACCCGGGAAGUGCAUUGGAWACUGGCARACUUGAAUACGGGAGAGGGUAGUGGAAUUCCUAGUGUAGGRGUGAAAUCCGUAGAUAUUAGGAGGAACACCGGUGGCGAAGGCGGCUACCUGGACCGAUAUUGACGCUGAGACGCGAAAGCGUGGGGAGCAAACAGGAUUAGAUACCCUGGUAGUCCACGCCGUAAACGAUGAGUACUAGGUGUUGCGGGUAUUGACCCCUGCAGUGCC
RNAcentral lists this ribosomal RNA (313 nucleotides) under uncultured delta proteobacterium. RNAcentral describes it as "bacterial SSU rRNA". It matches the Rfam family "Bacterial small subunit ribosomal RNA", at positions 536 to 847 of the family's 1533-position model. The record is from RNAcentral. Lineage: Bacteria; Deltaproteobacteria.